Molecule: ribosomal RNA, 465 nt
Filed under: Vreelandella stevensii
Lineage: Bacteria; Pseudomonadati; Pseudomonadota; Gammaproteobacteria; Oceanospirillales; Halomonadaceae
Description: partial 16S ribosomal RNA
Rfam family: Bacterial small subunit ribosomal RNA
Source: RNAcentral
CCUACGGGAGGCUGCAGUGGGGAAUAUUGGACAAUGGGGGGAACCCUGAUCCAGCCAUGCCGCGUGUGUGAAGAAGGCCCUCGGGUUGUAAAGCACUUUCAGUGAGGAAGAACGCCUGGUGGUUAAUACCCAUCAGGAAAGACAUCACUCACAGAAGAAGCACUGGCUAACUCCGUGCCAGCAGCCGCGGUAAUACGGAGGGUGCGAGCGUUAAUCGGAAUUACUGGGCGUAAAGCGCGCGUAGGUGGCUUGAUAAGCCGGUUGUGAAAGCCCCGGGCUCAACCUGGGAACGGCAUCCGGAACUGUCAAGCUAGAGUGCAGGAGAGGAAGGUAGAAUUCCCGGUGUAGCGGUGAAAUGCGUAGAGAUCGGGAGGAAUACCAGUGGCGAAGGCGGCCUUCUGGACUGACACUGACACUGAGGUGCGAAAGCGUGGGUAGCAAACAGGAUUAGAUACCCUUGUAGUC